This 1373-nucleotide ribosomal RNA is filed under the name metagenome. Its description in RNAcentral is "bacterial SSU rRNA". It matches the Rfam family "Bacterial small subunit ribosomal RNA". The record is from RNAcentral.
AGAGUUUGAUCCUGGCUCAGGAUGAACGCUGGCGGCGUGCCUAAUACAUGCAAGUCGAACGAGGAAUCUUUAUAUUCGUACGGAGAUUUCCUAGUGGCGAACGGGUGAGUAACGCGUUGGUGACCUGCCCCGAAGAGAGGGAUAACAGCUUGAAAGGGCUGCUAAUACCUCAUGUGAUCUCUAGGAUUAGAUGCCUGUUGAUUAAAUGGAUUUAUUCGCUUCGGGAGGGGCCUGCGUCCCAUCAGCUAGUUGGUAGGGUAAUGGCCUACCAAGGCUAUGACGGGUAGGGGACCUGAGAGGGUGACCCCCCACACUGACACUGAAACACGGGUCAGACACCUACGGGUGGCAGCAGUAGGGAAUAUUGGUAAUGGACGAAAGCCUGAACCAGCAACGCCGCGUGCGCGAUGAAGGCCUUCGGGUUGCAAAGCGCUUUUUGAGGGGAUGAGGAAGGACAGUACCCUCAGAAUAAGCCUCGGCUAACUACGUGCCAGCAGCCGCGGUAAAGCGUAGGAGGCGAGCGUUAUUCGGAUCUACUGGGCGUAAAGCGCGUGCAGGCGGUUCGGUAAGUUGGAUGUGAAAGCUCCUGGCUCAACUGGGAGAGGUCGUUCAAUACUGUCGGACUAGAGGAUGAGAGAGGGAGGUGGAAUUCCGGGUGUAGUGGUGGAAUGCGUAGAUAUCCGGAGGAACACCAGUGGCGAAGGCGGCCUCCUGGCUCAUUUCUGACGCUAAGACGCGAAAGCUAGGGUAGCAAACGGGAUUAGAGACCCCGGUAGUCCUAGCUGUAAACGAUGUAGACUGGCGUUGGUGGGGUAAAAUCCAUCAGUGCCGUAGCUAACGCGAUAAGUCUACCGCCUGGGGACUACGAUCGCAAGAUUAAAACUCAAAGGAAUUGACGGGUCCCCGCACAAGCAGCGGAGCGUGUGGUUUAAUUCGACGAUACGCGAAGAACCUUACCAGGGUUUGACAUAUAAGUGGUAGGGAUCCGAAAGGUGACCGACCCCUCGGGGAGCUUAUACAGGUGCUGCAUGGCUGUCGUCAGCUCGUGUCGUGAGAUGUUCGGUUAAGUCCGCUAACGAGCGCAACCCUCGUCGUGUGUUACAAGUGUCACGCGAGACCGCCGGUUUCAAGCCGGAGGAAGGUGAGGAUGACGUCAAGUCAGCAUGGCCUUUAUAUCCUGGGCUACACACACGCUACAAUGGCUGGUACAAUUGGUCGCGAAACCGCGAGGUGGAGCCAAUCCUUAAAGCCAGCCUCAGUUCAGAUUGUAGGCUGCAACUCGCCUGCAUGAAGAUGGAGUUGCUAGUAAACGCAGGUCAGCAACACUGCGUUGAAUACGUUCCCGGGGAUUGUACACACCGCCCGUCACGUCA